RNAcentral lists this ribosomal RNA (253 nucleotides) under uncultured bacterium. RNAcentral's name for it is "partial 16S ribosomal RNA". It matches the Rfam family "Bacterial small subunit ribosomal RNA", at positions 524 to 776 of the family's 1533-position model. The record is from RNAcentral.
UACGGAGGGUGCGAGCGUUAUCCGGAAUCACUGGGUUUAAAGGGUGCGUAGGCGGCUCGGUAAGUCAGUUGUGAAAGCCCCUUGCUUAACGAGGGAGGUGCGAUUGAUACUGUCGAGCUUGAAUCGGGAUGAGGCAGGGGGAAUGUGGCAUGUAGCGGUGAAAUGCAGAGAUAUGCCAUAGAACACCGAUUGAGAAGGCAGCCUGCUGGGCCUGUAUUGACGCUGAGGCACGAAAGCGUGGGGAGCAAACAGG